CCCUUAGAUGUUCUGGGCCGCACGCGCGCUACACUGAUGAAUGCAACGAGCUCUACCCUUGACCGAAAGGCCCGGGUAAACUUGUGAAACUUCAUCGUGAUGGGGAUAGAUUAUUGCAAUUAUUAAUCUUCAACGAGGAAUUCCUAGUAAGCGCGAGUCAUCAGCUCGCGUUGAUUACGUCCCUGCCCUUUGUACUCACCGCCCGUCGCUCCUACCGAUUGAAUGGUCCGGUGAAAUCUUCGGAUUGCUGACCAAGAUCCAGCAAUGGAGCUUGGUUGCGAGAAGUUGAUUAAACCUUAUUAUUUAGAGGAAGGAGAAGUCGUAACA
This 327-nucleotide ribosomal RNA is filed under the name uncultured eukaryote. RNAcentral describes it as "partial 18S ribosomal RNA". It matches the Rfam family "Eukaryotic small subunit ribosomal RNA", at positions 1470 to 1796 of the family's 1831-position model. The record is from RNAcentral.